AUUUGGCCAUUUUGAUCUUUUACUUAAAAUUACUUUUCGUGGCAGCAAAAAUUGGAAGAUUUGCGUGCUGAAAAAACGACGACGGUAGAUCAAAGGAAGAAAUGGGCAGUCUCCCAAACCCAAACACUUCCGAUUCGUACGCUCUCUUCUCAACAUUUUUUCUCAUCAAUCAAACAUGGCUUCCACUUCAAAGACGGUACCUUCCGCUUCUUCCAUUGUUAGACCCAACCUCUCUUCCUCUCUAUUUACUCACUCUCCGAUCAUUCCAUCAUCAAAUCCCCAAUUUUCAUCUCCAAUUCAUCCUAAAUCCCUACAUGUAUCACCCCAAAAUUUCAAUACACCCAUUUCGUGUCAACAGCAGCUUUCAAUGUUCCUACACAAUUGCAAGACAGGUAACAUUACUGCAACUCAAGCCUUCCAUUUCUUUCACCUGAUGAUGUGUUCAAAUCCUACCCCUCCCUUAUCUUCUUUCACUCAUUUACUUUCUGGACUUACUAAGAUUAAGCAUUACUCUCAAGUAUUUUACCUCUAUAAUCAAAUGCGUCUAUCUGGACUUUCACCUGAUUGCUGCACUCUGAAUAUAUUGUUGAAUUGCCUCUGUAAUUUGAAUCGGGUUGGCGAAGGUCUUGCGGUCAUGGCAGGGAUUUUAAGGAGAGGUUACGUUCCUGAUAUAGUCACAUAUACCACCUUAAUUAAGGGCUUGUGUAUGGAGCAUAGGAUUAGUAAAGCCACACUCUUAUUUACAAGAAUGCAAAAGUUAGGUUGUACGCCUAAUGCGAUUACUUAUGGGACUUUAAUCAAAGGACUUUGUCGAACAGGAAAUAUUGACGUCGCACUUAAGUUGCAUCAGGAAAUGCUCAAUGACACUAGUCGAUAUGGGAUUAAUUUUAAGCCUAUUGUUGUUUCCUACACUAUCAUUAUAGAUGCGCUUUGUAAGGAUAGACGGGAAGACGAGGCAAGAGAACUUUUCGAGGAAAUGAAAGCUCAAGGAAUGAUCCCCAGUGUCAUUUCAUAUACCUCUUUGAUUCAUGGAUUUUGUUGUGGUGGAAAGUGGGAGGAGGCUAAACGUUUGUUCAAUGAGAUGGUGAAUCAAGGUAUUCAACCAAACGUGGUUACAUUUAAUGUGUUGAUUGAUGUGCUUUGCAAGGAAGGAAAGGUUGUCGAGGCUAAGGAUUUGCUAGAGGUAAUGAUUCAAAGAGGCUCUGUUCCUAAUUUGCUUACUUAUAAUUCAUUGAUUGAGGGGUUUUGUUUGGUUGGUGAUCUUAAUAGUGCGAGGGAACUAUUUUUUAGCAUGCUAAGUAAGGGAUGUGAACCUGAUGUGAUUUGCUACACUGUGCUAAUUAAUGGGUAUUGUAAAACCUCAAAGGUGGAAGAAGCAAUGAAGAUUUAUAAUGGAAUGCUUCAAGUGGGAAAGAGGCCAGAUGUGAAAACAUAUGGUGCCUUGUUAAGAGGGCUUUUUCAGGGAGGCAAGGUUGGUGAUGCAAAGAAGCUAUUUGGUGUCAUGAAAGUUUAUGGUAUUCCUGAGGAUUUAUAUAUAUAUGGUAUUUUCUUAAAUGGGUUGUGUAAGAAUGGUUGUUUAUUUGAAGCGAUGGAACUUUUCAAUAAGCUAAAAUCAUAUAACAUGAAAUUGGACAUUGAAUGCUUUAAUUGUCUAAUUGAUGGCCUAUGCAAAGCAGGGAAACUUGAAACUGCUUGGGAGCUAUUCGAAAAACUAUCCCAAGGAGAUCUUCAACCAGAUGUUGUGACUUAUAAUAUUAUGAUCCACGAAUUUUGCAGAGGGGGACAAGUAGAUAAGGCAAAUAUUCUAUUUCAGAAGAUGGAAAAAAAUGGUUGUACUCCCGACAGAAUUACUUAUACUGCACUUCUACGAGGUUUCUUUGAAAGUAAGAAAUCAGAGAAGGUGGUCGAACUUCUUCAUAUGAUGGUUCAGAGGGAUGUAUCGCUAGAUGUCAACAUUUUGCGCCAUAAUCGCAGGCAUGCUUUGCAAAAUUGAAAAAUAUCAAGGAUGUCUAGACUUGCUUCCAAGGUUUCCCGUCCAAGAGCGUUAACGCUGUUAAUAUAACACUUAUUGGUAGACUCAUUAGGGGCUAAUGACUCAGAUUUCUAAUCAAGUACAAGAAGAAAUGAAACAUUGUUUUAUGGACUCGGAGGAUCAUCUUCAUCAGUAGCACAUUAGCCUGCAUGGAACAAAUAAGAUCCCUUUCUUCCACGCCGCCAAGCUCCUAAGGUUUUUCUCACAAAUAGAAUACCAAAAGGACAAAGUUCUCAGAUUGUCCCCAGAGGAAGCUUGAGGUAGUAAGUAGGGAAGGAGCCAACCUCACAAUCAAACACCUUCUCCCACCUCUGCAACUUAACAUGAUCAGCAUUAAUUCCAAAAAUGGUGUACUUGCUCCUAUGCAUUAAUUCCAAAAAUGGUGUACUUGCUCCUAUUGAUUUAGGCUAGACAUAUCUUCGAAGAAAGCCACCAUAUGGUUGAGCAUGAGGAAGGACUCCCCUUUUCCAUCCACAAAUUAAAGUACUUACUGUUAGACCUCCAACCUUCAUACUUAUAAAAGAUGGGCAAGAAGGGGAAUUCACAGAAGGAUUCAGCUAGGGUGCUCAUUGGAGAGGGAGAACACCUGAGGACCCCACCAUAUCACUAAUAUAAAAGGGAAUGUUUUGGGAUUGCUUAGGUUUCAUUUUUGGUAAAAAGCUGCUGAGAGCUUUUAGGGAGAGGUUGCCAGCCUUCUCGAAGGAGCUGGAUUGUUUCUUUUACUGAUAUUGUGUUGUUCUCUUUAUGCUUUCUUCUUACUUUAAUAUUAGCUUGUGGAAAUUUUUUUUGGAUUAUUAUUCAAGGAUUUUUUGAGUUUCAGGUCGGAGACUCCUAACACUUACCUCAUGGGUGGACUUGGGUAGUGAGAGCCAUGUUCUGAUGGUAGUGAGAGCCAUGUUCUGAUAAUAUUGUUCAUAUUAUCAUAUUAAUCAAAAUCUUGUUUCUGACAGAUGGGAACAGCCUCUGUACAAUGUCUGACAAACAGUAAUUCCAGUUUCAUUCAUCUAGUUUCAAGCCACACUACAAAGCCUUUGCCUCUUCCCAAGAAAUGCAGAAAUCUCGUUGUUGUCUUAGAAAUUCUGAAAGUCGUCCUUGAUGAUGUCAUUAGCCUCAAACUCUACUUCAGAUGAGUUAUUUUAUACUGAAUGUGAGUCUCUGGAUGCAGCUGUAUAUGAGGCUCGAGAAUUCAUCGAAAAAUGGCAUCUGAAGACAGAAAAAUUUGCAGUAAAUGUCUUAAAGGCUUUCAAUCAUGGAAGCAAGGAAGGAUAGUUGAAUCUAUUGAAGAGGCUCUAAUUAGUCAAAGAAAUGGCAUUGGCCCAAACUCUGACAUCUUUUAAACCUGAUCGAAGCACUUCAUUUGAAGUCAAAUCGCUGCUGAACACGACAAUGCGAAGGAGGAACACUACAUCACAUCCACCAGAUUAUGGAUCGAGUUAUCCUUAUACGAGAUUGGAUGGUUAGAAAGGACCUACUUCCGUGGGAUAGAUGGAGUCCCAAUUCUUUCGUAUUUUCACUGUCCAUUGCCAUUAGAACUGAUGCUUGAUCCAGUAAUUGUGGCAUUUGUGGAUUGAUAGCGGGUUAAACAUUUUCCCUAGUACUCAUCAGAUGUACAUACUAAUCUCGUUCCCAAUCACACCAUUAAAGCCAUGGUAUUAAAUUGGUGCGAUGAAAGCAAAUUGAACUUUCCAGUUUAUCAUCAUUGGUUCAGUUGUGCUGGCAUAAUUUGAAUCGAAGUGAUAACUUUCAUUAUUUUA
Cucumis melo (muskmelon) is the source of this 3786-nucleotide RNA transcript. It is a transcript of the gene named putative pentatricopeptide repeat-containing protein At1g12700, mitochondrial, with no coding region annotated. Lineage: Eukaryota; Viridiplantae; Streptophyta; Magnoliopsida; Cucurbitales; Cucurbitaceae. The transcript is spliced from 6 exons. The record is from RefSeq and is a predicted model, not a curated record.